GCAAUAACAAUGCUGAAUCAGCAAAUCACGUUUGAAGCGUGGCCAAAAUCUAUUGCCUGGAUCUUGGAGGCUUUGUCCAGUGUCAUUGUGGGCCACAGUGACAUAGCCAGGACCAUGGAGAGAGACCAUUGCUGAGGAGGUGGGAAUGGCAAGUUCCUGGCCAAUCAGAUGAUCCUACAUGACGAAGCUGCUCGUAAAGAUGCAAGUCUGAUGACAAACUCAGGAUGAUGAACCUGAGGAUUUGUACCGACCAGGUGAGGUGGACUUUGACCCCAAUGAGGAGAGCUUACUAGCGGAGCUCCACCUAGCAACCAGCGGUAGCAACGCACCCGGAGUGGAUCAGAUCAUUAUAGACAAUGAGAAACUAAUGCUGGAGAAUUAUGCGGCCAUUUUUCAGCCCGGCCAAGUGUUGAGGAGACAAGAAGAGGCACUGAGAAUGGAGGUAGAGGUACAGAGUACAUUAGCUGGAAAUUGCAUUUGUGUCAUACUUUGUAGAGUCCCUUAAAGUCAUUCAAGGUCAGCUAUAGUGUGUCCUAUUUGAAGGUGUGCAAUGUACAAUCAUGUACGACCCCCCCCCCACACACACACAUCUUUAGGCCUACUAUGCUGCUAAAAAAGAGAGGGGCCUCACGUAAACUGGCCACUCAGUGUGACUAUGACCAUGUGACUGUUUAACCCCUCAGUUCCCGAGCCCUACCCCUCACUGGUCUGACUCGGAAGAGGAGAUAGACUUUGUAUUCUGGGAGAAGGCGUCUACCCUACCCGAGGACAAGACCCCAACCAAGGACCUGAACUUGUUAUGAGACUGUUAAAUAUUAUUUUGUCUGUUUUUAUACUAUUUUCUGGCAAUGUAAUUAUGUAUGUACCACUUCAUGUCAUCAUAAUAACUAUAAUUAUAUGCAAUAAAAUUUUGUUGCAACUCAA
Halichondria panicea is the source of this 924-nucleotide long non-coding RNA. RefSeq lists it as uncharacterized. The transcript has 3 exons. NCBI's taxonomy places the organism in Eukaryota, Metazoa, Porifera, Demospongiae, Suberitida, Halichondriidae. The record is from RefSeq and is a predicted model, not a curated record.